GCUGGGCGCGAUGGCUCAUGCCUGUAAUCCCAGCAUUUUGGGAGGCCGAGGCGGGCGGAUCACUUGAGGUCAGGAGUUCAAGACCAGCCUGGCCAAUAUAGUGAAACCCCGUCUCUA
Molecule: non-coding RNA, 117 nt
Filed under: Pan troglodytes (chimpanzee)
Lineage: Eukaryota; Metazoa; Chordata; Mammalia; Primates; Hominidae
Source: Rfam by way of RNAcentral